GACGAACGCUGGCGGCGUGCCUAAUACAUGCAAGUCGAGCGGACUGAAUGGGAGCUUGCUCUUGUUCGGUCAGCGGCGGACGGGUGAGUAACACGUGGGCAACCUGCCCGCAAGACCGGGAUAACUCCGGGAAACCGGAGCUAAUACCGGAUAACACCGAAGACCGCAUGGUCUUUGGUUGAAAUGCGGCGCAAGCUGCCACUUGCGGAUGGGCCCGCGGCGCAUUAGCUAGUUGGUGAGGUAACGGCUCACCAAGGCGACGAUGCGUAGCCGGCCUGAGAGGGUGACCGGCCAAACUGGGACUGGGACACGGCCCAGAAUCCUACGGGAGGCAGCAGUAGGGAAUCUUCCGCAAUGGGCGAAAGCCUGACGGAGCGACGCCGCGUGAGCGAAGAAGGCCUUCGGGUCGUAAAGCUCUGUUGUGAGGGACGAAGGAGCGCCGUUUGAAGAAGGCGGCGCGGUGACGGUACCUCACGAGGAAGCCCCGGCUAACUACGUG
RNAcentral lists this ribosomal RNA (499 nucleotides) under uncultured bacterium. RNAcentral describes it as "partial 16S ribosomal RNA". It matches the Rfam family "Bacterial small subunit ribosomal RNA", at positions 28 to 507 of the family's 1533-position model. The record is from RNAcentral.